RNAcentral lists this long non-coding RNA (6367 nucleotides) under Sus scrofa (pig). RNAcentral describes it as "lncRNA (ENSSSCG00050041613.1)". Lineage: Eukaryota; Metazoa; Chordata; Mammalia; Artiodactyla; Suidae. The record is from RNAcentral.
UUUUUCCUUCUUUCUUUUCUUCCUUUUCCUUCCUUCCUUCCUUUCUCUCUCUCUCUCUCUUUCUUUCUUUCUGCUUUUUUAGGGCUGAACCUGUGACUUAUGGAAGUUAAACAGGCUACAGGUGGAAUUGGAGCUGUAGCCACUGGCCUACACCACAGCCACAGCAAUUCAGGAUCGGAGCCACAUUUGGACCUAUACCACAGCUCAAGGCAAUGCCAGAUCCUUAACCCACUUAGCGAGGCCAGGGAUCAAACCCACAUCCUCAUGGUUACUAGUCAGGUUCAUUGCCACUGAGCCACAAUGGGACUCCUAGAAAUAAUUUCAAACCUCACAAAGCUGCAGGGCAAGGACACACAUCAGAGACCCUGAGCCUCACCCCCCCAGGCCUAGAAGUCACUGCCCUGAACCACACUGGCUCCAGGCUGCCCUCAGGCCUUCGCCCCGGGACCACUGAGCUUUACCGACCCUUCACCUCUCUGUUUUAGAACACUGCCAUGGCUUUGGAUGUGCAUUGACAGUCCAAGCCCUGGUCUGUGUGUCUGCUGUCUCCUAGCAGCAGACCAAGGAGGUGGUUCUUGGCCCGCAUGCUGCCUAGCACCCGGUGACCCUUGCCCCGGGGGCUGCCAAUGUCCCUGUGGGACAGUGUAAGGGACACCAGAGGGUGUGUGAAUGGCCUGCCCUCCCCUCCACCCUCCAGGCCUCCUAGCCCAGCACACAUGCUCUCAGGAGUGCUUAGACCCUGCCCCACAGCCAGGGUCUGUGAGGCCCCAUCCUCCACACCCAGCCAUUCUGCCGUAAGCAUCCUUCAGCCCUAGAGACACCAGCUAGGGUGGAAGGUCAGGACGGGUCAGCAAGAUGUGCUAGCUAUACUCUGGAAUAUUCUCCCAGGAAACCCUCUCAUGGCUUGAGUCCUUCUUCCUGCAGACCCCAUGGUGGGCUCAGCCAGAAGCCUCUCUCGAGGCAGCCUCUCAGAGUCCCUGGUCCCCAGGGCCACUCGAAGCCCUGAAGUGGGGGUACAACCUGCAAAGCCACAGGACCCUGCCCUGGGUGGCCAGCCAAGUAUAAUGACAGAACACAGAUCCAGUGUCUCUCUACAGCUCAGAGCCCUGGGGGUAAGGGCCCAGGUGAGGCAAACCCUCUGGGGAAGCUGGAACGCACACCUGAGGAGGGUGGUGGCGGAAGCCCAGGGCUGGGCCCCAGGCCUACCCUAGGCGGGAACACCCCCAUCAUGCGUCCCAGGGACCCCAGCCUCACUAGCUCCAUCCUGCUCAGCUGAGUGGUGAAUGCGUAGACCCUGGGCCAAUGCUGCCCCUUCUAACUGUCCCCGAGCCUCAGUUUCCUCAUCUGUGAAAUGGGGAUGUGCCUCACAGGCACUUCUGUUUGUGAGCCUGAGCCCAGAGCCAGCACCGAGAAGCCACCAGGUAUCACUCUUGUCACCAGUCGGGCUCUCACUACCCUUGGGGGAUGAGCCUUUCUGGGCCCUGGACCCCAUGACAGGCCUCACCAAAAGGAGGGAAGAUUAGUGCCUGAGGUGGGGGUGGGGCCUUCCUCACUGCCUGCUGGCAGGGAGCCUCUGCAGAAAACAAAUCUCCUAGUCCCAUGGUUUUCAAAGUGGGGUCCCUGGACCAGCAUCGGCAGCACCCAGGAGUUUGUGAGAAAUGCAAGACAUCUUCAGGUCCCACCCCAAGACUUGCUGAAUCUGAAACUUGAACCAUGAAUCAUGUGUCAUCAGGCCUUCUGGGGAAGUUUUGGGGUGGGGGGUGCUCUAGUUGAGAUGGCUCUGAUUGUUACUAAUCAUCCCUGUGAGCCCCACACUCACUGCUGGGGGUGGCAGUAUUUUGGGCUGGACUCAGGGCAGGGUCCUUGCUCAAGAAGAGGAAGGCUGGGCCCAGAGACACUGCAGAGAGAGGAAAGGUCUGGGGCAAGGCUGCUGUGUAUGGCUGUGCAGGUUGCUCACUGCACAAGGACACCCAGCAAAAGGGGUGGAGAAGCAGGGGCUGAAGAACAACACGCACACAGCUGAAAUGUGAUGAGGGAGGAUGCCACAUUCCAAUUCAGACAUUCACACAAGCUGUCUUCUCGCUGAGCUGGGCCUGACUCCUCAGUGGUGCCCUGAAGGAUGGGGCAGGCUGGGGUCUGUCGUCCCUCUUCAGGUGGCCAGUUUUAGCUCUGAAAGCCCCAUUUCCCAGAAAAUCUUAUAAAACCAAGUCCUGUGCCCUGGAAACCACCCCAGUUCUGGACACACUAGUCACCUGCUUCUGUUCCUAGGCCAAGAGCCCAAACAGUCCAAGCUGGGGUCUGGCUAUCCUGCCUGCCUCCUAGUGGCUCAGAAAUGCUGCUGGCCACCUAGGCCAGGAGGCCUGAGAUGCCAUGCCACCAUACCAGCUGGGGCUGGAGAGACAAGAUCAGAGUCCCCGGGCCCUGAUUGUCCUGGGAGAGCAGUGGGGAGCUCCUGUGCCUGUGCCCCCUACCUCUGGGCAUUAUGGUCCACCCACCCACCCAUCCACCCCCCUGUGCUCUGGAAAGUCAACAGCAGAGCAGAGCCAGGGUUGCCAGCGAGGACCUCACUGAGAAGGCAAUACUUCUGAAAGGUGAGGCAGCAGGUUCCAGAGCUAUGGAGAAGAAAAGGAGUGGCACUGCAGGGAGAAGCAGGGGUCCCUGGGGGAGCGCCUCGAGAGCCCCACGAUGGAGCACCUGCGGCUUCUGUGAGGUAUGGAAAAUUCCUGAACGCCUAACAAUCAGCUCUUGCAAGGUGGCACACCGCCACAGCAUGCCCUCAGACUGGCAGGGCCAGGACUCUGCCCUCAGACUGGUGGAUAUGUGCAAAUAGGGCACUGCCCUCAACCUGGCAGGGGCAGGUCACAGACCUCAGCAGUGGGGCAGGAGUUGGUACAGAGAGGACACUUCCCUUAGAUCAGCAUAGUUAGGGUGCUGCCAUCAGACCAGCAGGGUUAGGGACACCACCUUCUGACUGAGGCAUCUGAGGAGCACCUGAGGCCCUGGGCUUUCUGGCAGUAACAGAGAAACGCCUCCUUAGCAGGGCAGCCCAGCCCAGGCUCAGCUGCACCCCCAGGAGGAAGCAUCUGCCUCCCAGGCUGGUGUAGGUAGGUAAUGCAUACUCCCCCCUGGUGAUCAGACCCUCAGGGUGUGGGGGGUUGGCGGCCAGCCCAGGGGGUGUGGCUGAGAAGGGGCCCAAGAGUCAGGAGACUGCAGUGUCCCAAGGCUGCCCCACAAGCUGCACAGGUUGGGGACAGGAACCCAUCUGUGCCUGGGACGCCCUGGCACCCCUCACCCCAACAGCGAGCAAACUCACCGGGACUCCAGACCCACACACCCCUUCACAGACCAGCACUUGCAGGAACACACUGUAGGAACUGCACCGAGAAUCCCAGAUGGCCCCCACGUCCAGACACGAUGCCCGCCUACUCCUACACCUGCCCACCUGGCCAAGACCCCCACAUGAAGUAGGGUGCACACGAGGUUCCCACGACCCUUAUAGCCCUUGUGCGCAGACGAGCAGAAACCGCUGCCCUCCCUAAACCGCUCUGUGCCUACAAUGCUCACACCGCCUGUGCUGACAGUGGGAUUGGUGGCCCUGGAGCUGCGUAGUGUGAGACCAGAAUGGCCAUUCGUGGUAACCCCUGCAGAAGCUCAUUAGCCAGUUUCACCCUCCUGAGCAUCAUCCCACAGAGCUCUCAGGCAGGCACAUGAGCUCACACACAUUCUCAGGGGCUCUGGGCCCUGACUCAUGCCUCUCCUCCUGAAUGCCAGCCCAGCCCAGCCCAGGGGUGGGAGGUGCUCUCAGACCCAUGGCUGGACCACACUGGCCUCCACACCUGCAGGCCUGGGAAGGGAAGAGGUAGGGCAAGGCCUGGCUGCAGCCCCUGGGGGACCCUGAGAAGGGGGCGGUGGCUGAGGCCACCCAUGGUCUCCCUCAAACCAGUGGGGGACAGGCCCUGGGGCGGGAGGAAGGAUCAGGCACCCGUCAAGCACCAGAAACCACCCCUUCGCCCCCAGUUGGCUGGGCCACUGUCCUGGUGAGAAGGGAGUCUGGAUCAGUGCCCACCCCUGGCCACCUCCAGGGUGCCCUUGCAGAAACCGAGCACAGGCUCCAGACAGCACCCUACCCUGUGUCCAUGAGCAAACAUGCAUGUGCACACACACUUGCCUCCCUGCUCUGGGGCCAUGUGGCAACUCAAGCCUGCGGUGGAGACCCCUCCUCCUUGCACUCCAUCUCCACCCCUGCUCCUCAUGGCACCCCGAUUUCCUCUCGGGGCCCCUGUGCAAACCGUUAAAGCCCCUGGGCCUCCUCAGGGGUCAGAUAUUAUGGGUCUCACCUCAGAGACCUUCCUGGGCCCCCUGGGUAUUCCAGUAUGCACCCCAAAGUCAAGAGGUCCCCUGCUGACUCAGCAGCCAAAGGUCAAGCCCAUGGCCCUGACUGGGCCCCCGCCAGCUGCCUAGGAGACGGAGCUGCGUUUAUCCAUGAGAACCAUCUGCCUUCUUGCCCCCAACCCCGCAGUCCCUGCUUAUUCCAGCUGAUCCCCCAUGUCCAGUGUGUUCUGUGGCCUUCCAUUAACCCUUGGUGCAGGUGCCUGGCAUGGCUAAGUGGGAGGUGACAGCCUGUCCCAUCUACCUGAAGCCCUCACAGUGCAUGGUCCGAGGCCUGGUCUAUGCCACAGCUGAGGACCACCCCACUGCCUCCUGGGCACCUCAGCCCCUGGCCCCUCCAUCAUUCCCUACAUCAUUGCCCCAAGGGCUGUAAACCUAGUUCUGCCCAGGAAGCCCCUUGAGUUUCCCCAGGCCUGGCAGCUCGCUGGCCCCAGGUGUGCUCUGUGGUGAACCUGGGUGGGAGCUGUCUCAGGGAGCCUGGGCUUCAGAGCAGCCCAGGGAGGCACAAGGCCCCCCAGGGAGGAGACACUUCAUGCACACUGUGCAAACACACCCACGAAGGGGGCUGAUGGGCAGAUGAGAUGCUGCAGUGUGUGAGGAAGGCCAGGGCCCUCCUCCCCAACUUGCCUGCACAGCCUCUCCUCUGCAUGCACAUGACAACCCCUCUGUAGGUCAGGGUGGAGAAGGAUCCCUUUGAGGCUCAGCAUUGAGGCAGGUGUCACCCAGCUGACAGCAGCGCCUGCUGGUGAAGCGUGGUAAUGCAGCUGUCGGUGCCCAGGGUGGUGAGAGGGGUGGCAAGGGGGGGGUCCUCAGGGAUGCAAGUAGGGGAUGGAGGCUCCAGGAUGAGGGAAUCAACAGUAAGGAGACCCUGGUGUCCCCUGUCCUCUGGGGUGGCUGGGCGUGGGCCCUGUUCCUUCCUGGGGUGCCUCCCGACCCUCCCUUCAUUCCUGCAUCAACCAGGCCAAUGAAGGCCCCUCAGGCUCCUUGUCCCCAAGUGUCCUUGCUGGACCAUUUGCUGUGGCCCCAGGUGUCCUUGCUGGUGCCCAUCAGGCAGGGGCUAUCCUUCAUCCCCACCAUCUAGCACAGGGCCUGGCACAAUGAGGGGUUUGGUGGUUCGUGGGUGACCGAGUAUUUCCACAGUCAGCUUGGGGUCAGGGAGCGAGCUGCUGCCCCCUGAGGCUGGCCACCCCCCUCCAACUGCUCCACAUCCUUCCUCUAGGAAAGGUGGACAGAUGGAUGGACAGAGAUGGGAUGGAGAUGACAACAGACUGCACAGGGGGUGCUGGCCACCACCCGAGGAGCAGGCUCUGGGGACACCAUCUGCACAUGAGCAAGUGUGUGCGUCGGGUUGCCCCACCUAUGCCUGUGUGGUCCUCCCUUCUGCUGGGGAACAGGGGCGGUGCAGCUGGGACCUGCCCCACAGUUGUGAUGUGGACGCUAGGUGUGUGUGCCACCAGAGCUGGAGCAGGGUCCUCUGUGCUCCAUCUCACCUCCUCUCAUUGGCUUAGCCGCUCAGCCUGCUCCAUCACUGUCCCUGUCUGUCCCCAUCUGUCCAGUUGACUCAAGCCACAAGCACCUCCCUCCAACUGUAACAGCCUUCCUCCUGGCGGUCCACACAGCUACCCAGCCCUCCUCCUCCUGCGUCAUUAGAAAUGUGACCCCUUCCCAGGCGUAUGGCUGGGGGCUCCUUGUCACUUGGGCCUCAGCUUGGGUCCAUCCCCUGGGAGAGGCCUCCCACCCCCCUGAUCUAAAGAAGCCCCCUUUCCAGGCAGGCCUGUUGUCACCUCAAAAUCCCCGACUCAUUUCAUGCCUGUCUGGAACUCAGCUCCCUGAGAGCAGGGACUGUCAUCUGUCUUAGUCAUCUUGGCACCCCAGGACUCAGACAGGGGGUGACAACAGAGCCCAAUGGGCUGACAACAUGCCAGACAGGGAGGAGAGGUGGGUGCCUGCCAUGCCCAGGUAUCCGCUCCCUGCCACC